This 227-nucleotide ribosomal RNA is filed under the name uncultured bacterium. RNAcentral describes it as "partial 16S ribosomal RNA". It matches the Rfam family "Bacterial small subunit ribosomal RNA", at positions 109 to 334 of the family's 1533-position model. The record is from RNAcentral.
AGUAACGCGUGAGGAACCUGCCUCAAAGAGGGGGACAACAGUUGGAAACGACUGCUAAUACCGCAUAAGCCCACGGCUCGGCAUCGAGCAGAGGGAAAAGGAGCAAUCCGCUUUGAGAUGGCCUCGCGUCCGAUUAGCUAGUUGGUGAGGUAAUGGCCCACCAAGGCGACGAUCGGUAGCCGGACUGAGAGGUUGAACGGCCACAUUGGGGCUGAGACACGGCCCAG